CCUGCAAAGCAGACCGCGAACACGUGUUUAAACAAAUCGGGGCCGUGGCCAGCCGCGGCCCCAACCCCGCCGGCGUGUGCGCUCGCGUUGCGCCGUGCGGCCUAACAAAUUCGGGCGCGGAAUGCGCCAAGGAAAACGCAACGGAGCGUCCCACUUCCCACGCCCCGUACGCGGAUUGCGGGGGAGGUCGGGUCGCCUUUCGAAUACCAAAACGACUCUCGGCAACGGAUAUCUCGGCUCUCGCAUCGAUGAAGAACGUAGCGAAAUGCGAUACUUGGUGUGAAUUGCAGAAUCCCGUGAACCAUCGAGUCUUUGAACGCAAGUUGCGCCCGAAGCCAUCCGGCCGAGGGCACGCCUGCCUGGGCGUCACGCAUCGCGUCACCCCCCUCCGCGCGCAUCGUCCGCGGGCGGGGUGGAGAUUGGCCUCCCGUGCGCCCUCCGUGCGGCCGGCCCAAAUGCGAUCCCUCGGCGGCGCACGUCACGACCAGUGGUGGUUGAACGAUCAACUCGCGUGCUGUCGUGCCUCAAUGCGCCGCCCGUCCNGGAGAUCGAAGGCCCAACGGCGCNUGCGAGCAUCGCGCUCCGA
RNAcentral lists this ribosomal RNA (586 nucleotides) under Oxera lehuntei. RNAcentral describes it as "eukaryotic LSU rRNA". The stretch from base 214 to 369 matches the Rfam family "5.8S ribosomal RNA". Lineage: Eukaryota; Viridiplantae; Streptophyta; Magnoliopsida; Lamiales; Lamiaceae. The record is from RNAcentral.